UACGUAGGGUGCGAGCGUUGUCCGGAAUUAUUGGGCGUAAAGAGCUUGUAGGCGGUCUGUCGCGUCUGCUGUGAAAAUCCGGGGCUCAACCCCGGACUUGCAGUGGGUACGGGCAGACUAGAGUGUGGUAGGGGAGACUGGAAUUCCUGGUGUAGCGGUGAAAUGCGCAGAUAUCGGGAGGAACACCAGUGGCGAAGGCGAUCACCUGGGGAUGUUCUGACGCUGGAGGAGCGAAAGCUAGGGGAGCAAACGGGG
RNAcentral lists this ribosomal RNA (255 nucleotides) under uncultured bacterium. RNAcentral describes it as "partial 16S ribosomal RNA". It matches the Rfam family "Bacterial small subunit ribosomal RNA", at positions 524 to 777 of the family's 1533-position model. The record is from RNAcentral.